Molecule: transfer RNA, 71 nt
Filed under: Cordylochernes scorpioides
Lineage: Eukaryota; Metazoa; Arthropoda; Arachnida; Pseudoscorpiones; Chernetidae
Description: tRNA-Gly
Rfam family: tRNA
About the family: Transfer RNA (tRNA) molecules are approximately 80 nucleotides in length. Their secondary structure includes four short double-helical elements and three loops (D, anti-codon, and T loops).
Source: RNAcentral
GCAUCGGUAAUUCAGUGGUAAAAUGCUUGCCUGCCACGCGGGCGGCCCGGGUUCGAUUCCAGGCCGAUGCA